GACGAACGCUGGCGGCGUGCCUAAUACAUGCAAGUAGAACGCUGAAGGAGGAGCUUGCUUCUCCGGAUGAGUUGCGAACGGGUGAGUAACGCGUAGGUAACCUGCCUGUUAGCGGGGGAUAACUAUUGGAAACGAUAGCUAAUACCGCAUAAGAGUAGAUGUCGCAUGACAUUUGCUUAAAAGGUGCAACUGCACCACUACCAGAUGGACCUGCGUUGUAUUAGCUAGUUGGUGAGGUAACGGCUCACCAAGGCAACGAUACAUAGCCGACCUGGGAGGGUGAUCGGCCACACUGGGACUGAGACACGGCCCAGACUCCUACGGGAGGCAGCAGUAGGGAAUCUUCGGCAAUGGACGGAAGUCUGACCGAGCAACGCCGCGUGAGUGAAGAAGGUUUUCGGAUCGUAAAGCUCUGUUGUAAGAGAAGAACGAGUGUGGGAGUGGAAAGUUCACACUGUGACGGUAUCUUACCAGAAAGGGACGGCUAACUACGUG
This 495-nucleotide ribosomal RNA is filed under the name uncultured bacterium. Its description in RNAcentral is "partial 16S ribosomal RNA". It matches the Rfam family "Bacterial small subunit ribosomal RNA", at positions 28 to 507 of the family's 1533-position model. The record is from RNAcentral.